GUGGGAGAGGCUUAGUGGUUUGGCGUGAGAUUGCAACGUGUCUUCAGACGAAGAGCGGCGCCUAGAAAAAUCUUGAGGUCGUGGGUUCGAUUCCCACCUUCCACU
Molecule: transfer RNA, 105 nt
Rfam family: tRNA
About the family: Transfer RNA (tRNA) molecules are approximately 80 nucleotides in length.
Source: Rfam